Long non-coding RNA from Prunus persica (peach), 1133 nucleotides. RefSeq lists it as uncharacterized. The record is from RefSeq and is a predicted model, not a curated record. NCBI's taxonomy places the organism in Eukaryota, Viridiplantae, Streptophyta, Magnoliopsida, Rosales, Rosaceae. The transcript is spliced from 3 exons.
AAAAGAAGAAAACUACGAGUGAAUGCUUCUGGCCCUAACCACUCUUAAGUUCAGGCAUCUUCAUCUUGCAGCCGAAGUCCACAACAGUGGAGGGAGGUGAAAGUUGAGACCAAGGCCUCUCCUGCAGCCACCGCCACCAGGGAGGCAAUCACAUUACUUUACCUGUGACAUGGAUGAAGACUGAUGAUUUUGUGGUUCGAGAAAUUGGUAAGGUCUCAUAGGUUCGCUCGUCUGGAUAAGCCAAAAAAGCACGCGCACACUUGCACAGCACACAAUCAAGUUGAGGCUGUUCUUGCACCAAUUCAGCCACGAUGACUCAUGACAGUAAUUUCACUUUUUAAUUCAAUAUAUAAUUGUGUUUUUUACAGGGAAAGUGUGCAUGAAAACAAGGUUGGUUUAUACUUAAUUAAAUACUAGUGUGAUAGAGAAAGUGAAAGCAUGUUUGAUUAAGGAAGGGAUGUGGAUGGCUUUGGCAGUGGGGAAAAUAAAAAUAAAAAUAAGAGAUGAUAGUUGGGCAAGUAGGGCUUGAUUGGUUUCCAGCAAGAAGAAGAAAAAGAAAGGUAGGGUUGAUUGGUGGUGGUCACCCACCCGCCUAUGUUUUAGCCCAUACAUGAUUGAAGGGAAGCUAAAAAUUUUGCCAAAAGCUGGUUCAUGUCUCACGAGAGCAUCUAUGUUGUCUAAGCCAAAAUCCCUCACUCCUAGGAGAGGCUUCUUCAUGACAAAAGCACUUUUCCCCACUUAUACUGAAAAGUAGUUUGAUCAUUAUACUUUCCAAUAUUGCUUCCAUGGGUUGUGUUGUUUUUAGGGCAUUAAAAUUGAAAGUCCCUAGGUUUUGUUUACGUGCUUUUUACAACUUUUUAUCCCCCUUUGUGGCAAUAGGUAGAAGAAUGAAAUCAAUAUUGUGUUUGACGAGUGCUUAGCACGUGCAUCAUGAAUUACAAUGAUGAGUUGAAGAUGAACAUGAUGAUGACUGUGUUUCGAAUGGGCAUGUGAUCAAACCUAGAUGUGCCAAUGUAUCUUUCAUCUGUCGUUUUAUUUUAUCAGUAAUAAUAGCUAGAAGAGAAUUUUAAGAUAUGUACAUGUAUUUUCGACAUGGGAAGGAAUGAAUCAAAAUAUUUCUAAUCGUUUUUGAA